Molecule: ribosomal RNA, 572 nt
Filed under: Salmonella enterica subsp. enterica serovar Infantis
Lineage: Bacteria; Pseudomonadati; Pseudomonadota; Gammaproteobacteria; Enterobacterales; Enterobacteriaceae
Also listed under: 2 other names
Description: partial 23S ribosomal RNA
Rfam family: Bacterial large subunit ribosomal RNA
Source: RNAcentral
AGACCCGAAACCCGGUGAUCUAGCCAUGGGCAGGUUGAAGGUUGGGUAACACUAACUGGAGGACCGAACCGACUAAUGUUGAAAAAUUAGCGGAUGACCUGUGGCUGGGGGUGAAAGGCCAAUCAAACCGGGAGAUAGCUGGUUCUCCCCGAAAGCUAUUUAGGUAGCGCCUCGUGAAUUCAUCUCCGGGGGUAGAGCACUGUUUCGGCUAGGGGGCCAUCCCGGCUUACCAACCCGAUGCAAACUGCGAAUACCGGAGAAUGUUAUCACGGGAGACACACGGCGGGUGCUAACGUCCGUCGUGAAGAGGGAAACAACCCAGACCGCCAGCUAAGGUCCCAAAGUCAUGGUUAAGUGGGAAACGAUGUGGGAAGGCCCAGACAGCCAGGAUGUUGGCUUAGAAGCAGCCAUCAUUUAAAGAAAGCGUAAUAGCUCACUGGUCGAGUCGGCCUGCGCGGAAGAUGUAACGGGGCUAAACCAUGCACCGAAGCUGCGGCAGCGAACGUAUCACUUAAAGCGAUUCAGCGGGUUACGAUUGACGGAGCGAAGCGACGUCAAAGCGUAUACAAAGU